This 70-nucleotide transfer RNA is filed under the name Dipodomys ordii (Ord's kangaroo rat). It matches the Rfam family "tRNA". From Rfam's summary of the family: Transfer RNA (tRNA) molecules are approximately 80 nucleotides in length. Their secondary structure includes four short double-helical elements and three loops (D, anti-codon, and T loops). Further hydrogen bonds mediate the characteristic L-shaped molecular structure. tRNAs have two regions of fundamental functional importance: the anti-codon, which is responsible for specific mRNA codon recognition, and the 3' end, to which the tRNAs corresponding amino acid is attached (by aminoacyl-tRNA synthetases). tRNAs cope with the degeneracy of the genetic code in two manners: having more than one tRNA (with a specific anti-codon) for a particular amino acid; and 'wobble' base-pairing, i.e. permitting non-standard base-pairing at the 3rd anti-codon position. Lineage: Eukaryota; Metazoa; Chordata; Mammalia; Rodentia; Heteromyidae. The record is from Rfam by way of RNAcentral.
GGGAAAGUGGCUCAGUGGUAGAGUGCUUGCCUUGCAUGCAUAAGACUCUGGGUUCAAUUCCUCAGCACCA